UACGGGAGUGGCAAGCGUUAUCCGGAAUUAUUGGGCGUAAAGCGUCCGCAGGCGGUUCUGUAAGUCUGCCGUUAAAGCGUGGAGCUUAACUCCAUUUCGGCGGUGGAAACUGCAGGACUUGAGUGUGGUAGGGGCAGAGGGAAUUCCCGGUGUAGCGGUGAAAUGCGUAGAUAUCGGGAAGAACACCAGUGGCGAAAGCGCUCUGCUGGGCCAUAACUGACGCUCAUGGACGAAAGCCAGGGGAGCGAAAGGG
RNAcentral lists this ribosomal RNA (253 nucleotides) under uncultured bacterium. Its description in RNAcentral is "partial 16S ribosomal RNA". It matches the Rfam family "Bacterial small subunit ribosomal RNA", at positions 524 to 776 of the family's 1533-position model. RNAcentral also lists the same sequence under 1 other name. The record is from RNAcentral.